RNAcentral lists this ribosomal RNA (406 nucleotides) under uncultured bacterium. RNAcentral's name for it is "partial 16S ribosomal RNA". It matches the Rfam family "Bacterial small subunit ribosomal RNA", at positions 30 to 526 of the family's 1533-position model. The record is from RNAcentral.
AUUGAACGCUGGCGGCAGGCCUAACACAUGCAAGUCGAGCGAGCGGCGGACGGGUGAGUAAUGUCUUGUAAACUGCCUGAUGGAGGGGGAUAACUACUGUAAACUGUAGCUAAUACCGCAUACCAUCAUAUUUGCCCAUAUGGGAUUAGCUAGUAGGUGGGGUAACGGCUCACCUAGGCGACGAGCCCUAGCUGGGCUGAGAGGAUGACCAGCCACACGGGCACUGAGACACGGUCCAGACUACUACGGGAGUCAGCAGUGGGGAAUAUUGCACAAUGGGCGCAAGCCUGAUGCAGCCAUGCCGCGUGUAUGAAGAAGGCCUUCGGGUUGUAAAGUACUUUCAGCGGGGAGGCGUUACCCGCAGAAGAAGCACCGGCUAACUCCGUGCCAGCAGCCGCGGUAAUUC